GUUGAAUUCAAGUUUACAUGUUAUUAAUGUUGAAAAGAUGUGAAUAUUUUCAGAGCACAACUUCAGGCAAGGCCUGAACAAUUAUAUUUAAAGAUUUGAUUUUUAUAUACAGUAUUUACCAAACCAGGCAAGCAAUGGAAUAGUGUUUUGUUAAAGCUCUUACAUGGCGGUACUCUGGCACUUUGGUUCUGAUCAUAUU
Long non-coding RNA from Sphaeramia orbicularis (orbiculate cardinalfish), 199 nucleotides. RefSeq lists it as uncharacterized. Lineage: Eukaryota; Metazoa; Chordata; Actinopteri; Kurtiformes; Apogonidae. The transcript has 3 exons. The record is from RefSeq and is a predicted model, not a curated record.